AAAUUGAAGAGUUUGAUCAUGGCUCAGAUUGAACGCUGGCGGCAGGCCUAACACAUGCAAGUCGAACGGUAACAGGAAGCAGCUUGCUGCUUUGCUGACGAGUGGCGGACGGGUGAGUAAUGUCUGGGAAACUGCCUGAUGGAGGGGGAUAACUACUGGAAACGGUGGCUAAUACCGCAUAACGUCGCAAGACUAAAGAGGGGGACCUUCGGGCCUCUUGCCAUCAGAUGUGCCCAGAU
RNAcentral lists this ribosomal RNA (239 nucleotides) under Salmonella enterica. Its description in RNAcentral is "partial 16S ribosomal RNA". It matches the Rfam family "Bacterial small subunit ribosomal RNA", at positions 1 to 236 of the family's 1533-position model. Lineage: Bacteria; Pseudomonadati; Pseudomonadota; Gammaproteobacteria; Enterobacterales; Enterobacteriaceae. The record is from RNAcentral.